This 1064-nucleotide ribosomal RNA is filed under the name uncultured bacterium. Its description in RNAcentral is "bacterial SSU rRNA". It matches the Rfam family "Bacterial small subunit ribosomal RNA", at positions 77 to 1161 of the family's 1533-position model. The record is from RNAcentral.
ACUUCGGUGUGAGUAAGUGGCGCACGGGUGAGGAACGCGUGGAUAAUCUGCCCUUUGGCGGGGAAUAACUCGGGGAAACUCGGGCUAAUACCGCAUAAGACUACAGUAUCUGCGGAUACAGUGGUUAAAGGUUUACCACCAGAGGAUGAGUCCGCGUCCGAUUAGCUUGAUGGUAGGGUAACGGCCUACCAUGGCUCCGAUCGGUAGCUGGUCUGAGAGGAUGAUCAGCCACACUGGAACUGAGACACGGUCCAGACUCCUACGGGAGGCAGCAGUAGGGAAUAUUGCGCAAUGGAGGAAACUCUGACGCAGCGACGCCGCGUGAGUGAUGAAGGCCCUCGGGUCGUAAAGCUCUGUCCUUAGGGAAUAAAAAAAUGAAGGUACCUAAGAAGAAAGGACCGGCUAACUUCGUGCCAGCAGCCGCGGUAAUACGAGGGGUCCUAGCGUUGUUCGGAAUCAUUGGGCUUAAAGCGGGUGCAGGUGGCUUGGUAAGUCAGAAGUGAAAGCCCUGGGCUCAACCUAGGAAGUGCUUUUGAUACUGUUAAGCUUGAGUGUGGAAGAGGUAAGUAGAAUUCCAGGUGUAGUGGUGAAAUACGUAGAUAUCUGGAGGAACACCGGUGGGGAAGCCGGCUUACUGGUCCAACACUGACACUCAGACCCGAAAGCGUGGGUAGCAAACAGGAUUAGAUACCCUGGUAGUCCACGCCGUAAACGAUGGACACUUGGUGUUGGAGGUUUUGACCCCUUCAGUGCCGGAGCAAAAGCGUUAAGUGUCCCGCCUGGGGAGUACGGUCGCAAGAUUAAAACUCAAAGAAAUUGACGGGGGCCCGCACAAGCGGUGGAGCAUGUGGUUUAAUUCGAUGCAACGCGAAGAACCUUACCUGGCCUUGACAUGUAGUGGAAGACUACCAGAGAUGGUGUCGCCUUCGGGCCGCUACACAGGUGCUGCAUGGUUGUCGUCAGCUCGUGUCGUGAGAUGUUGGGUUAAGUCCCGCAACGAGCGCAACCCUUAUCAUUAGUUGCCAGCAUUUAGUUGGGCACUCUAGUGAGACCGCCUGCGUUAG